This 457-nucleotide ribosomal RNA is filed under the name uncultured archaeon. RNAcentral describes it as "bacterial SSU rRNA". It matches the Rfam family "Archaeal small subunit ribosomal RNA", at positions 405 to 862 of the family's 1478-position model. The record is from RNAcentral.
CACUUUUCUUGACUCUUCAAAGGUCUUGGAAUAAGGGGUGGGUAAGGACGGUGCCAGCCGCCGCGGUAAUACCGGCGCCUCAAGUGGUAGUCGCUUUUAUUGGGCCUAAAACGUCCGUAGCCGGUCUGGUACAUUCGUGGGUAAAUCAACCCGCUCAACGGGUUGAAUUCUGCGAGCACGGCCAGACUUGGGACCGGGAGAGGUGUGGGGUACUCUCAGGGUAGGGGUAAAAUCCUGUCAUCCUGAGAGGACCACCUGUUGCGAAGGCGCCACACUAAAACGGAUCCGACGGUCAGGGACGAAACCUAGGGGCACGAACCGGAUUAAAUACCCGGGUAGUCCUAGGUGUAAACGCUGUGGACUUGAUGUUGGGGGCGCUCCGAGCGCUCUCAGUGUCGAAGCGAAGGUGAUAAGUCCACUGCCUGGGGAGUACGGUCGCAAGGCUGAAACUUAAAGG